UACCUCAUGUGGCAUUCUGUUCCUGCUUUCAUUGCAGUAAACGAGAUUCCACAAGGCUCUCCACUCCUGGGCAGAGAUCGACUCUCUCUCUCUCUUGAUUCUCCCCUCCCUCCUCAGGAAAGAGAUCGACACCAUGAACCAUUUGUCCGAAUAGGCGACAUGUUUUCCCACCAGGUUUAAGUUUUUCGAAUUUCCGCUGUUUUUUUUUGUUUUAGUUUAUGGUUUGUGCGGUUUUUCCUUUUGAUUUUGUUCAGGAUUUUGUGGUAUUUGUUUUCCCUAGACCCUCAUUGUUGUGUGUGUUUGAAGCUACUCUAGCUGUGGUGUUUUGGUUGAUUAUUCUCUGUCUCUAGGGUUUUCCCCUUGUUUUCAACUCUAUUUUGAUGGUAUGUUCUUGGUGAGAACAACUACAGCAACAACAAAUCUAAAUGCUUCAAAAUAUGGAGAAUAGGGAGAAGGACGCUCGAAAGAUGGAUCUGCAUCUAGGCUUCCGAGAGUCCGAAGGAAUCAAAGUUGAGUCGGUGUACUUUCCUCUUAAAGGUGAGUCAGUGUAAUUUCUUACGGUGAAUCUGUCAACAUAAUGAUUGUGAUUUUGUGUUGUAUUUUGAUACCUAUGAAUGAGUUUGUAUAUUACAAUUUCCUGUGCAGCAUGGUAGUUUGCCAAUUGCCCUUGGGCAAAUAAAUCCAACAGGUAAUCUUUUUCCUCUCCCCCUGUCUCCACACUCAAAUUUGGUUCUUAAGGUGUAGGUCAGUGAUGAUGUUCAUCAUGGAAGGCUCAAUGUUAACAAGGUAGAUUGUAUUAGAGUUCAGCAGGAGUUGAACAGGACAGAAGGAAUAUUUUCUGUAAUAUGUGAAGAGCAACCAUUUUCGUACAUGGUAGUACCAAAUGUUUGAAACCAAUAAACGCAAAUGAAGAAACCGUGUUUG
Rhododendron vialii is the source of this 924-nucleotide long non-coding RNA. RefSeq lists it as uncharacterized. The transcript has 3 exons. The record is from RefSeq and is a predicted model, not a curated record. Lineage: Eukaryota; Viridiplantae; Streptophyta; Magnoliopsida; Ericales; Ericaceae.